RNAcentral lists this ribosomal RNA (250 nucleotides) under uncultured bacterium. RNAcentral describes it as "partial 16S ribosomal RNA". It matches the Rfam family "Bacterial small subunit ribosomal RNA", at positions 355 to 602 of the family's 1533-position model. The record is from RNAcentral.
UAAGGAAUAUUGGACAAUGGGCGGAAGCCUGAUCCAGCCAUCCCGCGUGCAGGAUGACGGCCCUCUGGGUUGUAAACUGCUUUAGACUGGGAAGAAAGUUGUGGUUUUAACUGCAAUUGACGGUACCAUUAGAAUAAGCACCGGCUAACUCCGUGCCAGCAGCCGCGGUAAUACGGAGGGUGCAAGCGUUAUCCGGAAUUACUGGGUUUAAAGGGUGCGUAGGCGGCUAUAUAAGUCAGAGGUGAAAGCC